CCUACGGGAGGCAGCAGUAGGGAAUUUUGCGCAAUGGGGGAAACCCUGACGCAGCAACACCGCGGGAAUGUUAAGCCCUUCGGGGUGUAAAGUUCUGUCAAUAGGGACGAAUUUUGACUGUACCUAUAAAGGAAGCACCGGCUAACUCCGUGCCAGCAGCCGCGGUAAUACGGGGGGUGCAAGCGUUGUCCGGAAUCAUUGGGCGUAAAGCGUUCGUAGGCGGUAUGUCAAGUCUGAUGUUAAAGCCCGGGGCUCAACUCCGGUUCGGCAUUGGAUACUGGCAAACUAGAAUGUGGUAGAGGUAAAGGGAAUUCCUAGUGUAGCGGUGGAAUGCGUAGAUAUUAGGAGGAACAUCAGGGGCGAAGGCGACUUACUGGACUGUAACUGACACUGAGGCACGAAAGCGUGGGGAGCAAACAGGAUUAGAUACCCCGGUAGUC
Molecule: ribosomal RNA, 440 nt
Filed under: uncultured bacterium
Lineage: Bacteria
Description: partial 16S ribosomal RNA
Rfam family: Bacterial small subunit ribosomal RNA
Source: RNAcentral